AACAGGAAACAGCUUGCUGUUUCGCUGACGAGUGGCGGACGGGUGAGUAAUGUCUGGGAAACUGCCUGAUGGAGGGGGAUAACUACUGGAAACGGUAGCUAAUACCGCAUAACGUCGCAAGACCAAAGAGGGGGACCUUCGGGCCUCUUGCCAUCGGAUGUGCCCAGAUGGGAUUAGCUAGUAGGUGGGGUAACGGCUCACCUAGGCGACGAUCCCUAGCUGGUCUGAGAGGAUGACCAGCCACACUGGAACUGAGACACGGUCCAGACUCCUACGGGAGGCAGCAGUGGGGAAUAUUGCACAAUGGGCGCAAGCCUGAUGCAGCCAUGCCGCGUGUAUGAAGAAGGCCUUCGGGUUGUAAAGUACUUUCAGCGGGGAGGAAGGGAGUAAAGUUAAUACCUUUGCUCAUUGACGUUACCCGCAGAAGAAGCACCGGCUAACUCCGUGCCAGCAGCCGCGGUAAUACGGAGGGUGCAAGCGUUAAUCGGAAUUACCGGGCGUAAAGCGCACGCAGGCGGUUUGUUAAGUCAGAUGUGAAAUCCCCGGGCUCAACCUGGGAACUGCAUCUGAUACUGGCAAGCUUGAGUCUCGUAGAGGGGGGUAGAAUUCCAGGUGUAGCGGUGAAAUGCGUAGAGAUCUGGAGGAAUACCGGUGGCGAAGGCGGCCCCUGGACGAAGACUGA
Molecule: ribosomal RNA, 682 nt
Filed under: uncultured Pseudomonadota bacterium
Lineage: Bacteria; Pseudomonadati; Pseudomonadota
Description: bacterial SSU rRNA
Rfam family: Bacterial small subunit ribosomal RNA
Source: RNAcentral